RNAcentral lists this ribosomal RNA (497 nucleotides) under uncultured bacterium. RNAcentral describes it as "partial 16S ribosomal RNA". It matches the Rfam family "Bacterial small subunit ribosomal RNA", at positions 30 to 523 of the family's 1533-position model. The record is from RNAcentral.
AUUGAACGCUGGCGGCAUGCCUUACACAUGCAAGUCGAACGGUAACAGGUCUUCGGAUGCUGACGAGUGGCGAACGGGUGAGUAAUACAUCGGAACGUGCCUAGUAGUGGGGGAUAACUACUCGAAAGAGUGGCUAAUACCGCAUGAGAUCUACGGAUUAAAGCAGGGACCGCAAGACCUUGUGCUACUAGAGCGGCCGAUAGCAGAUUAGGUAGUUGGUGGGAUAAAAGCUUGCCAAGCCGACGAUCUGUAGCUGGUCUGAGAGGACGAUCAGCCACACUGGGACUGAGACACGGCCCAGACUCCUACGGGAGGCAGCAGUGGGGAAUUUUGGACAAUGGGCGAAAGCCUGAUCCAGCAAUGCCGCGUGCAGGAUGAAGGCCUUCGGGUUGUAAACUGCUUUUGUACGGAACGAAAAGCCCCGGGUUAAUACCCUGGGGUCAUGACGGUACCGUAAGAAUAAGCACCGGCUAACUACGUGCCAGCCGCCGCGGUAA